This 467-nucleotide ribosomal RNA is filed under the name uncultured bacterium. RNAcentral describes it as "partial 16S ribosomal RNA". It matches the Rfam family "Bacterial small subunit ribosomal RNA", at positions 28 to 507 of the family's 1533-position model. The record is from RNAcentral.
GACGAACGCUGGCGGCGUGCUUAACACAUGCAAGUCGAACGGAAAGGCCUCUUUCGGGGGGUACUCGAGUGGCGAACGGGUGAGUAACACGUGAGUAACCUGCCCUUGACUUUGGGAUAACUUCAGGAAACUGGGGCUAAUACCGGAUAGGAGCUCCUGCUGCAUGGUGGGGGUUGGAAAGUUUCGGCGGUUGGGGAUGGACUCGCGGCUUAUCAGCUUGUUGGUGGGGUGGUGGCUUACCAAGGCUUUGACGGGUAGCCGGCCUGAGAGGGUGACCGGCCACAUUGGGACUGAGAUACGGCCCAGACUCCUACGGGAGGCAGCAGUGGGGAAUAUUGCACAAUGGGUGGAAGCCUGAUGCAGCAACGCCGUGUGCGGGAUGACGGCCUUCGGGUUGUAAACCGCUUUCGCUCAUGACGAAGCUUUGUGUGACGGUAGUGGGUAAAGAAGCACCGGCUAACUACGUG